GGCCGCCGCGGGCCUUGGGUGCGAGCCCUUCCGCUCCUGGGUGCGAGCCCCUCCGGGGUCCGCGCGCGCGGCCUGGCGUUCCGCCGCUGCUGACGCGGCGUUCUGAGUGCUGUGACUCGUUCGCCGACUGGGAAGCCGAGUUCCUGCGAGUCCCGCUCCCUCAGCCCCAUCCUGCCCGGGGUCCGCACGCGAGCCCGGGAAAAGGUGGAAAAGGAAGGAAAGGUCUCAAGUUAAAUAAGGCUCCGCUUUAGCGCUUCCGGGAAGGCUGGAGCCUGGUCACCGGGAUCCUUGGUCGUUAGUGAUUUGUCUUCAGGCAGUCAUACCAGUUCUAGAAAGACACUAUCCAGUCUGCUGCGAAAGCCGCGCUAUAUCAAGCCUAAUGGCUGUUGGAAUCAGAGAAAUUAGAAAAAUGAAAGAAUUACACAUGGACAUACAGAACAUUUUUCAUUACCACAAAAAGCAAGCCUGUAACCAUCAUCAGUCACUUCCACUCCUCAGCCUCUGGUGACCACUGAUCUACUUUCUGUUUCUACGGAUUUGCCUACUCUGGACAUUUCAGAUAACUAGAAUCAUGCAGUAUGUGGUCUUCUCUGACUUCGCACAGUUCUCAUGGUUCAUUCAUGCUGUAGUAUGUAUCAGUACUUCAUUCCUUUUUAUUGCCAAAUAAUAUUCUAUUAUAUGGAAUACCAUCAUUUUGAUAAUCCAUUUAUCAGUUGCUGGACUUCUGGUUUGUUUUUACUUCUGUGUAGCUAUAUUUUAAUUUCUCUUGGUUAUAUACCUUGGAGUAAAAGUGCUGAGUCAUAAGGUAACACUAUGUUUAAUUUUUUGAGGAAUGAAGUGUUUUCUAAAGUGGCUGCACUAUUUCAGAAUACCAUCAGUAACUUAUGAAGGUUCCAAUUUAUCCACAUCUCUCCCAACAUUUUUGUCUUUUUUAUUUUAGCCAUCCUACUUGGCGUAAAGUGGUAACUCACAGUGUUUUGAUUUGCAAAGCGCUGGUGACUAAUGAUGCUGAGUAUCUUUUGUGUGCCUGUUGAUCUGUGGUAUCUCCUCUGGAGAAAUGUCUAUUAAAAUCCUUUCCCCAUUUGAAA
Pteropus alecto (black flying fox) is the source of this 1088-nucleotide long non-coding RNA. RefSeq lists it as uncharacterized. The record is from RefSeq and is a predicted model, not a curated record. NCBI's taxonomy places the organism in Eukaryota, Metazoa, Chordata, Mammalia, Chiroptera, Pteropodidae. The transcript has 4 exons.